CAUUGUAGCUUGCUACAGCUGACGACCGGCGCACGGGUGCGUAACGCGUAUAGAAUCUACCUUACACUGAGGGAUAGCCUUGGGAAACAAAGAUUAAUACCUCAUAGUAUGAUGAUAAGGCAUCUUAUUAUUAUUAAAGCUUCGGCGGUAAAAGAUGAGUAUGCGUUCUAUUAGCUAGAUGGUAAGGUAACGGCUUACCAUGGCAACGAUAGGUAGGGGCCCUGAGAGGGGGACCCCCCACACUGGUACUGAGACACGGACCAGACUCCUACGGGAGGCAGCAGUGAGGAAUAUUGGACAAUGGAGGCAACUCUGAUCCAGCCAUGCCGCGUGCAGGAAGACUGCCCUAUGGGUUGUAAACUGCUUUUAUACAGGAAGAAACACCCCCUCGUGAGGGAGCUUGACGGUACUGUAAGAAUAAGGAUCGGCUAACUCCGUGCCAGCAGCCGCGGUAAUACGCAGGAUCCAAGCGUUAUCCGGAAUCAUUGGGUUUAAAGGGUCCGUAGGCGGGCAAUUAAGUCAGAGGUGAAAUCCUGCAGCUCAACUGUAGAAUUGCCUUUGAUACUGGUUAUCUUGAGUUAUUAUGAAGUAGUUAGAAUAUGUAGUGUAGCGGUGAAAUGCAUAGAUAUUACAUAGAAUACCAAUUGCGAAGGCAGAUUACUAACAAUAUACUGACACUGAUGGACGAAAGCGUGGGUAGCGAACAGGAUUAGAUACCCUGGUAGUCCACGCCGUAAACGAUGGAUACUAGCUGUUCGAUCUUCGGAUUGAGUGGCUAAGCGAAAGUGAUAAGUAUCCCACCUGGGGAGUACGUUAGCAAGAAUGAAACUCAAAGGAAUUGACGGGGGCCCGCACAAGCGGUGGAGCAUGUGGUUUAAUUCGAUGAUACGCGAGGAACCUUACCAGGGCUUAAAUGUAGAUUGACAGGUUUAGAGAUAGACUUUUCUUCGGACAAUUUACAAGGUGCUGCAUGGUUGUCGUCAGCUCGUGCCGUGAGGUGUCAGGUUAAGUCCUAUAACGAGCGCAACCCCUGUUGUUAGUUGCCAGCGAGUAAUGUCGGGAACUCUAACAAGACUGCCGGUGCAAACCGUGAGGAAGGGGGGGAUGACGUCAAAUCAUCAUGGCCCUUACGUCCUGGGCCACCCACGUGCUACAAUGGCCGGUACAGAGAGCAGCCACUAGGUGACUAGGAGCGAAUUUUUAAAACCGGUCUCAGUUCGGAUCGGAGUCUGCAACUCGACUCCGUGACGCUGGAAUCGCUAGUAAUCGCAUAUCAGCCAUGAUGCG
RNAcentral lists this ribosomal RNA (1287 nucleotides) under uncultured prokaryote. RNAcentral describes it as "partial 16S ribosomal RNA". It matches the Rfam family "Bacterial small subunit ribosomal RNA", at positions 71 to 1361 of the family's 1533-position model. The record is from RNAcentral.